UACGGAGGAUGCAAGCGUUAUCCGGAAUUAUUGGGCGUAAAGCGUCCGCAGGUGGCUUUUCAAGUCUGCUGUCAAAGCCCGGAGCUUAACUCCGGCAAGGCGGUGGAAACUGAGAAGCUAGAGUGCAGUAGGGGUAGAGGGAAUUCCCGGUGUAGCGGUGAAAUGCGUAGAGUUCGGGAAGAACAUCGGUGGCGAAAGCGCUCUGCUGGACUGCAACUGACACUCGCAGGACGAAAGCUAGGGGAGCGAAUGGG
RNAcentral lists this ribosomal RNA (254 nucleotides) under uncultured bacterium. RNAcentral's name for it is "partial 16S ribosomal RNA". It matches the Rfam family "Bacterial small subunit ribosomal RNA", at positions 524 to 776 of the family's 1533-position model. The record is from RNAcentral.